RNAcentral lists this ribosomal RNA (497 nucleotides) under uncultured bacterium. RNAcentral describes it as "partial 16S ribosomal RNA". It matches the Rfam family "Bacterial small subunit ribosomal RNA", at positions 28 to 507 of the family's 1533-position model. The record is from RNAcentral.
GACGAACGCUGGCGGCGUGCCUAAUACAUGCAAGUUGAGCGCUGAAGGUUGGUACUUGUACCAACUGGAUGAGCAGCGAACGGGUGAGUAACGCGUGGGGAAUCUGCCUUUGAGCGGGGGACAACAUUUGGAAACGAAUGCUAAUACCGCAUAAAAACUUUAAACACAAGUUUUAAGUUUGAAAGAUGCAAUUGCACCACUCAAAGAUGAUCCCGCGUUGUAUUAGCUAGUUGGUGAGGUAAAGGCUCACCAAGGCGAUGAUACAUAGCCGACCUGAGAGGGUGAUCGGCCACAUUGGGACUGAGACACGGCCCAAACUCCUACGGGAGGCAGCAGUAGGGAAUCUUCGGCAAUGGACGAAAGGCUGACCGAGCAACGCCGCGUGAGUGAAGAAGGUUUUCGGAUCGUAAAACUCUGUUGGUAGAGAAGAACGUUGGUGAGAGUGGAAAGCUCAUCAAGUGACGGUAACUACCCAGAAAGGGACGGCUAACUACGUG